UACGUAGGGGGCAAGCGUUGUCCGGAAUCAUUGGGCGUAAAGCGCGUGUAGGCGGCCCGGUAAGUCCGCUGUGAAAGUCGGGGGCUCAACCCUCGAAUGCCGGUGGAUACUGUCGGGCUAGAGUGCGGGAGAGGCGAGUGGAAUUCCUGGUGUAGCGGUGAAAUGCGCAGAUAUCAGGAGGAACACCGGUGGCGAAGGCGGCUUCCUGGACACUAACUGACGCUGAGACGCGAAAGCGUGGGGAGCAAACAGG
RNAcentral lists this ribosomal RNA (253 nucleotides) under uncultured bacterium. RNAcentral's name for it is "partial 16S ribosomal RNA". It matches the Rfam family "Bacterial small subunit ribosomal RNA", at positions 524 to 776 of the family's 1533-position model. The record is from RNAcentral.